CUACGGGUGGCUGCAGCUAAGAAUCUUCCGCAAUGGACGAAAGUCUGACGGAGUGACGCCGCGUGAACGAUGAAGGCCGAAAGGUUGUAAAGUUCUUUUCUUGUGGAGGAAUAAUAAGAGUAGGGAAUGACUCUUAGAUGACGUUAAGCAAGGAAUAAGCCCCGGCUAAUUACGUGCCAGCAGCCGCGGUAACACGUAAGGGGCAAGCGUUGUUCGGAUUCAUUGGGCGUAAAGGGCGUGUAGGCGGAAUGACAAGUCUGGUGUGAAAUAUCCCGGCUCAACUGGGAAAACGCAUUGGAACUGUCAAUCUAGAGUAUAGGAAGGGAAGCUAGAAUUCCAGGUGUAGGGGUGAAAUCUGUAGAUAUCUGGAAGAAUACCGGUGGCGAAGGCGAGCUUCUGGCCAUAUACUGACGCUGAUACGCGAAAGUGUGGGGAGCGAACAGGAUUAGAUACCCCGGUAGUC
Molecule: ribosomal RNA, 463 nt
Filed under: uncultured bacterium
Lineage: Bacteria
Description: partial 16S ribosomal RNA
Rfam family: Bacterial small subunit ribosomal RNA
Source: RNAcentral